GAUGAAGAACGUAGCAAAAUGCGAUAAGUAGUGUGAAUUGCAAAUUCAGUGAAUCAUCGAGUCUUUGAACGCACAUUGCGCCCCCUGGUAUUCCGGGGGGCAUGCCUGUCCGAGCGUCAUUGCUGCCCUCAAGCACGGCUUGUGUGUUGGGCCCCGUCCUCCGAUCCCGGGGGACGGGCCCGAAAGGCAGCGGCGGCACCGCGUCCGGUCCUCGAGCGUAUGGGGCUUUGUCACCCGCUCUGUAGGCCCGGCCGGCGCUUGCCGAUCAACCCAAAUUUUUAUCCAGGUUGACCUCGGAUCAGGUAGGGAUACCCGCUGAACUUAAGCAUAUCAUAAGCGGAGGA
This 344-nucleotide unclassified non-coding RNA is filed under the name soil metagenome. Its description in RNAcentral is "partial contains 5.8S ribosomal RNA, internal transcribed spacer 2, and large subunit ribosomal RNA". The stretch from base 1 to 119 matches the Rfam family "5.8S ribosomal RNA", at positions 35 to 154 of the family's 154-position model. The record is from RNAcentral.